Molecule: non-coding RNA, 80 nt
Organism: Characodon lateralis
Lineage: Eukaryota; Metazoa; Chordata; Actinopteri; Cyprinodontiformes; Goodeidae
Source: the annotation of a GenBank genome assembly
UGCACGGUGGCGCAGUUGGUAGCACUAUCUUGCAGCAAGAAGGUCCAGGGUUCGAUUCCCGGCUGGGGGUCUGUCUGCAU